UAAGCAAGCACUUAUGGCUGACAAGGCAGU
Molecule: non-coding RNA, 30 nt
Filed under: Mus musculus (house mouse)
Lineage: Eukaryota; Metazoa; Chordata; Mammalia; Rodentia; Muridae
Source: RNAcentral